This is a long non-coding RNA of Homo sapiens (human), 3124 nucleotides long. RefSeq lists it as uncharacterized. The record is from RefSeq and is a predicted model, not a curated record. Lineage: Eukaryota; Metazoa; Chordata; Mammalia; Primates; Hominidae. The transcript is spliced from 2 exons.
CGCGUGUCAUCGUGGUUUGCUGCACUUAUUGACUGGUCCUCCAAGUUCCCUCCCCUCACCUGGCAAAAUAUCUUGAUAGGCUGAUUCUAACAAGCAAUAUGGAAUAAGGAUGAAAUAAAAUGCUGCCUUUAGUUCCAGGAAAUUUGGCUGAAAUACAGCACAAGUGAAAAACUCACUGGUUUUAGCGUCCUGCAACUUUAAUAAGACUCAGCAAUACAAUAUGGUUGCCCAUGAAAUUAAUUCAGUCUUGGGUAGCACUGACGAAUGGUGUCCAGACAAAGCAGUGAAGAACCUUGCUAUUCUGUCUUUCUGUGCUCAAGCAACUGUCAGGGAGAAAAGCACUGUGUCCAUCAAACAGAGAACUGUGCUCAGUUCUGUGUGCCACACAAUGAGAAAAGGACAUGGUGCUCUAAGAAGGGCAAGCAGAAAGGAAAGAUUGUGUGGGACUGGAUUAGAUUUGUUGCCUUUUGCUUCAGAUACCACAAAUGUUAAAGGGAGAUAAGAUAAUUUUUGCUUUAACACAAAAAAGAGUUUUCUGUUGUUUAUUUUUUAUUUCUUUGACACGAGGACAGUUCAAAGAUGGAAUGGGCUAUAUGUGGGAGGAAAAGUGAGUUCUGUUAAGGAGUCUGUUUAAGCAGAGAGAGCUUAGGUUCAUGUGAAGGUAGAGGCUGGUGGUAGAUAAGAUGUAGUGUUUAGAGUACUGUGGUGAGAAAGCAAAAGCUAUGUUUGAGGGAUGGCAAUUAUUACCUAGAAUACAGGAUCUGGGAUUUGUUAGUGAACUUAGAGAGACGAGAAUGGCCUGGGAUGCCAGGGUUAUGGAUUCCUCUUUCAUUUACUAGGUAGUGGGAAACCACUAAAGUUUUGAGCCUUGAAAGAUGAUCAAGGAAGAGUUUCAGGAGAUGAGUCAUUUGGAGAUUUGUGGCAUAUAUCUGAGGGGGUAAGGCAAAGUUAUUAAUCUAGGGGGGCGUCUGUGAAUGGGCUUGACAUUAUAUUAAAAAAAUCUUUGUAUAUGUUUGUACUUACAUGCCUUUUUCUGGCAAAUUGGUCUGUGUUACCAAAUGAUUUAAGUAGGAACUGGAGGGACUGUGAGGAAGGGACCUAAUUUUAUACUUUUAUACUGGAGGGAGACCAGUUAUAAGAUUAUUGUAAUAAUAGAAAUAGGUGAAAAGGAAAGGAGGGAGUGAAGGUAGAGAGACUGUUAGAAAUCAGUAGAGCCUGGUACAAUACAACAGAAGGAGACUUGGAUCUGGCCACCAAGACCAGGUUUACAAUUCUAGCUCUUCCAAUUGUUAAUUGUUUAACUUUGCAGAAAUUAUUUAACCUCUUGGAGUCUCAGGUUACGUCAUUUUACAUCUGUAAAAUGAAGAUAAUAAUGUUCCACAGUGAGAAACAAAUGAUCUGCAAAGUAUGUCAAAGUAUUUUAUAACCUCUAAAAUUCAAAACAAAUAUUGGUUAUUUUUAUGUUGGAGUUUAAAGGCAAGAAUUGAAGACUAUAUUAGUGAAAGUAGGGAACUGAGGAUUAUUUUAUUUCACUUACUAAUGGAGAAGAAUAAGGUAUAAAAUUGCAAAGAACUUGAAGAAGCCUAUUUUGGGGCUUUGAAUUUAAGCAAAAUAAUCUGUUAUCUUCCUGUUAUUCAAGAUUUCUUGUCUUUCAAAUUUCAGCCAAAAGUUACAGUCAUAGGAGUUCAAGGCUUAAAGUAUUAAAGUAGGAAGAUUGCUCAAAAGUUGCACUUGAGGUUAAACACUUUAACUUUUGGGUUCCCUGGAUGGGCUCUUUUUUUUGUUGUUGUUAUUUUUGGAUUUAUUUGUUUACAUGUCAUUAUUUCUCCUUUGGCCUGCUCUGUCUUGAUUAUUGCUUAAAGUCAGUAAUCGUCUCAUUUCUCAUUUGUGUUUAUACACCAAGUGUCUACUGUAUGACUUGGCACAUAGUAGAUACUCUGAAUGAUUGUUACAUGAUGAAAGUGGUGGCUCAGUUGCCAGAUAGUGAAUUAUUUAAGAAUGUUGGGCUUUUUAGAGGAUGAUGAUAUUUUCAAACUGAGAUCAACAGAUAAUUCCUUCCAUAUGUCCUUUGGAAUUUCUUCUCAUUAUUUGCACAGUUUAAGAUAAAAAUAGUUGAUUAAAGAGCAGAGGAGCAGAUUAUGAUAUGCAGCAUUUUGAUAUGCUUUGGCUAUAAUACAAGAUUCUUUUAAUGUGAGUAGGGAAAAAACUGCUUUGCAAAUGUGUUAUAUAUCCUUCUGACUUGGCUUUUACCUUUGCCGGAUUUCAUAGACUUCCUGUUUGAAGCGCCUAAGGAGGCUACAGCUCACAUCUUUAUUGAUAUUGUAACUACAAGUACCAUGAAAUUGCCUUGCGUGUCUAUUGUGGUGCAGCAAUAUAACUGAGACAAAAAUUCCUGAAUAUUAAUUUCUUUUAAUUGCUUAUUCUGAUAACAAACCUGAUUUUGCAGGAAUAAAUGUACCUGAAACAAGGGCUUUCUUAUUUCUGUAAUUUUACUCCAAAGUGGACUUGUUCAAGAAUAUAACUUUACCUGACUUUAUCUCAUUGACUUUUUGCCCUAGAAAUGCAAUAGUAGCUGGAAAUUGUUAGAAAUGACUAGAUAUUUCUAAUUAGAGAGAUGGCCACAGAGGUAAUGGGACUUACUUUUUAAGAACACAGUGUGUCAGAUGCCUAAUAUAUGUUUCAUCAUGACAUAGUAUAUGGUAGAGCAGAGCUCUUAGGAACAUAGCCUUUGGUAAUACACAUAUCACCAAUCAUGCUAAAACUAUUUCUGUAGUACACAUAGUAUUUGUGUAUGUGUAAGGGCUAACGCAAGAUUCUACUGAGGUUUACUUCUCUGUAAGCAAUUGGAACCAUUUACAUAAACAACUUCAGUCAACUACUUUUUGAGUUUCAUCCAGAGAGGAAAAACAGAUUUUAGUAGUAGCAGAUGUGCAUGGCCUGAUGUAAAAUACUGUUUUCCUGUAGAGACGAAUCCAUGUAGAGAAGAAACACAAAGAAUAUGACCCUGCAACCUGAAUUAAUUCUACUUUUAAUUCUAGUAAUUUGUUGUUGUUGUUGUUUACUUUAGCCUCAGAGUCUCAGAGAAACUUGGACAUUGGAUUUUAAUAAACUACUGUGUCUCAGA